Vombatus ursinus (common wombat) is the source of this 107-nucleotide small nuclear RNA. The record is from Ensembl. Lineage: Eukaryota; Metazoa; Chordata; Mammalia; Diprotodontia; Vombatidae.
GAGCUUGCAUUGGCAGCACAUACGCUAAAAUGGGAAUGAUACAGAGCAGGCUAGCAUGGUCCUUGCCCAAGGAUUACAUGCAAAUUCAUGAAGCAUUCCAUAUUUUU